Molecule: ribosomal RNA, 388 nt
Filed under: uncultured organism
Description: bacterial SSU rRNA
Rfam family: Bacterial small subunit ribosomal RNA
Source: RNAcentral
CGCCUAACACAUGCAAGUCGAGCGGUAACAUGAUGAGUAGCAAUACUGAUUGAUGACGAGCGGCGGACGGGUGAGGAAAGCGUAGGAACUUGCCCUUCAGAGGGGGAUAACCAAGGGAAACUUUGGCUAAUACCGCGUAAACUCGCGAGAGUAAAGCUGCCGCAAGGUGGCGCUGAAGGAGAGGCCUGCGUCCGAUUAGCUAGUUGGUGGGGUAAAAGCUUACCAAGGCGAUGAUCGGUAACCGGUCUGAGAGGACGACCAGUCACACUGGGACUGAGACACGGCCCAGACUCCUACGGGAGGCAGCAGUGGGGAAUAUUGGACAAUGGGGGCAACCCUGAUCCAGCGAUGCCGCGUGAGUGAAGAAGGCCUUCGGGUCGUAAAGCUC